GACGAACGCUGGCGGCGUGCUUAACACAUGCAAGUCGAACGGAAAGGCUCCAUCUUGCUGGAGUACUCGAGUGGCGAACGGGUGAGUAUCACGUGGGUAAUCUGCCCUGCACUCUGGGAUAAGCCUGGGAAACUGGGUCUAAUACUGGAUAUGACCUUUCUCCUUAUGGGGUUUGGUGGAAAGUUUUUCGGUGUAGGUUGAGCCCGCGGCCUAUCAGCUUGUUGGUGGGGUGAUGGCCUACCAAGGCGACGACGGGUAGCCGGCCUGAGAGGGUGAGCGGCCCCAUUGGGACUGAGAUACGGGCCAGACUCCUACGGGAGGCAGCGGAGGAGAAUAGAGCACGAAGGGCGGAGUGCAGAUGCAGCGACGCCGCGUGGGGGAUAACGGCCUUCGGGUUGUAAAGCUCUUUCAGCAGGGACGAAGCGUAAGUGACGGUACCUGCAGAAGAAGCACCGGCUAACUAUGUG
RNAcentral lists this ribosomal RNA (467 nucleotides) under uncultured bacterium. RNAcentral's name for it is "partial 16S ribosomal RNA". It matches the Rfam family "Bacterial small subunit ribosomal RNA", at positions 28 to 507 of the family's 1533-position model. The record is from RNAcentral.